UGAUAGUCUUCUGGCACAAUACGUAAUUGA
RNAcentral lists this non-coding RNA (30 nucleotides) under Mus musculus (house mouse). The record is from RNAcentral. Lineage: Eukaryota; Metazoa; Chordata; Mammalia; Rodentia; Muridae.